UCUACCUCAGUGAGGUCUUCUACCUCUCAAUGAGGUCUUCUGCAUCAGUGAGGUCUUCUGCCUCAUUGAGGUCUUCUACCUCUCAGUGAGGUCUUCUGCCUCAUUGAGGUCUUCUGCCUCAUUGAGGUCUUCUGCCUCAUUGAGGUCUUCUGCCUCAUUGAGGUCUUCUGCCUCAGUGAAGUCUUCUUUUGCUAGGACCUCAGUGAGGUCUUCUUUUGCUAGGACCUCAGUGAGGUCUUCUUUUGUCAAGACCUUAUUGAGGUCUUCCUUUGUCAAGACUUUAUUGAGGUCUUCUCUUGUCAAGACCUCAUUGAGGUCUUCUCUUGUCAAGACCUUAUUGAGGUCUUCCUUUGCUAGGACCUCAGUGAGGUCUUCUUUUGUCAAGACCUUAUUGAGGUCUUCCUUUGUCAAGACCUCAUUGAGGUCUUCUCUUGUCAAGACCUUAUUGAGGUCUUCCUUUGCUAAGACCUCAGUGAGGUCUUCUUUUGUCAAGACCUUAUUGAGGUCUUCCUUUGUCAAGACCUCAUUGAGGUCUUCUCUUGUCAAGACCUUAUUGAGGUCUUCCUUUGCUAGGACCUCAGUGAGGUCUUCUUUUGUCAAGACCUUAUUGAGGUCUUCUCUUGUCAAGACCUCAUUGAGGUCUUCUCUUGNN
This 652-nucleotide long non-coding RNA is filed under the name Manihot esculenta (cassava). Its description in RNAcentral is "long non-coding RNA (MESC_LNC009063)". Lineage: Eukaryota; Viridiplantae; Streptophyta; Magnoliopsida; Malpighiales; Euphorbiaceae. The record is from RNAcentral.